This 262-nucleotide long non-coding RNA is filed under the name Mytilus galloprovincialis (Mediterranean mussel). Lineage: Eukaryota; Metazoa; Mollusca; Bivalvia; Mytilida; Mytilidae. The record is from RNAcentral.
CGGGCGUAUGACAUUUGCGCCGAUUUUGAAAAUUUGCAUUCUUUCAUUUGCGCCGAUUUCAUUUUUUCAUUUGCGCCGAUUUUAUAUUUUCUACUAAUUGGAUUUACAGGUAAGUUACAGGUAAGUUAAUACUUUUACAUCUACUAUACCUUGAAGGUAUAUUGGUAAAAUCUGGUUAUAAACGUUGUUCACUUAGGGUUUAAAGUUAAUUUUAUUUCAUAUUGUUCUGGGACAUCGUUGUAACACGAUGGACAUAUUGCAC